Molecule: ribosomal RNA, 492 nt
Filed under: uncultured bacterium
Lineage: Bacteria
Description: bacterial SSU rRNA
Rfam family: Bacterial small subunit ribosomal RNA
Source: RNAcentral
AGUGAACGCUGGCGGCAGGUCUAAUACAUGCAAGUCGAACGGCAGCACAGCAGAGCUUGCUCUGUGGGUGGCGAGUGGCGGACGGGUGAGGAAUACAUGGGAAUCUGCCCAGUCGUGGGGGAUAACGUAUGGAAACGUACGCUAAUACCGCAUGCGCCCUACGGGGGAAAGCCGGGGACCGCAAGGCCUGGCGCGAUUGGAUGAGCCCAUGUUCGAUUAGCUAGUUGGCGGGGUAAAGGCCCACCAAGGCGACGAUCGAUAGCUGGUCUGAGAGGAUGAUCAGCCACACUGGAACUGAGACACGGUCCAGACUCCUACGGGAGGCAGCAGUAGGGAAUAUUGGACAAUGGGGGCGAACCCUGAUCCAGCCAUGCCGCGUGAGUGAAGAAGGCCCUCGGGUUGUAAAGCUCUUUUGUCCGGAAAGAAAGCAAUCGGUUAAUACCCGGUUGUUCUGACGGUACCGGAAGAAUAAGCACCGGCUAACUUCGUGCC